GCUUUCUAUUCUUUUUACUUCGGUGUAUAUUUCCCGAUGUCUCGGUUCGUUGCCACAAAAGCGGUUGUGAAAAGCUGCUGAAUGUGAACUUUCUAACAGUUUGGUGUUUCAUCGCUCACUAUGAAGUGUUUUUUACAUCGUCAUUAAAUGCAUAGUUAAAUUUUCCUUGUCGAAAAUGGGGCAGGCAAUGGCAUGUCAUUGCGGUAAAGUUAACAUCACACCUGCAGCGUCAAUUUGAUUGCAUGUGGGAAGUGCUUGCCCUCUGAACAAUAUUCUUCGAAAUUUGGUUACGUCAUGCAAGGAAAGAGAAAAAAACGAAAGUAAAGUGUGAAUUGUUUCCGAUACGGUUGUUCCUCUGAUUGCCAGUGAUGAAAUCGAUUGUGUUAAGUAUGAUUCAAAUUACGGUGUUUGAAAUUGGAUGCAGAUUUAAUCAAUCGUUAGUGCAUAAUCUUUUUUUUGCUGUGCAAUUGAGUUCAAUGAAGAGAAUUCAGCGAACGUGGGGGCUCAAUAAGAGUUAAUACUUCCAGUCAGAGAUCAGAUAAGUAUUUUAUUGAACCUUUUUGUGCUUAUAACUAUUCCUGUUGAUGAGAUGAUGGCAAGAGAAAUGACGCUAUUGCUGAAAAAAUGAGCAGUGGAACUUUGUCAUCCUUUUAUUUUAUAAUAAUUUAAAAUUCACUUUUCUUUGUCGGUUUAUGUUAAACUGUAUUACAUUUAUUAUUAAUAGAAAAGUCUACAUCAUAACUUCCCAUUUAUAGUCUUGCACAAAAGUCUUGCAUGAUGUGUAUUCUUCGUAAUCUCAUUCUGGAGCAUAUUUAAUUAACUUGUACCGUUGAUGGACCAUAUUUGGUGCUGUUGAGGAAAUUGUGUAUACAAAGUUGAAUCACAAUGUUCGGUCAAAUAAUACUAUUUUUUACCUAACUACCGUAGAAUAUUACUAAAAUAAAUGAGAAAUACGAAGAUUAAUAUUUUUUCAAGUUCCACAAACUCUUUGUGUGGCACAUUAUGUUCCUAUUUUGGCGCCUGGGUUUUGUUAUGUGCCUUUAUUGGUGGACUUAAAACAAAAUGGAUGUAGUUCAUUAAAUUCAACUGAUUUAUUCAACAAUAUUCAAUGAGCAACAUGAAAUGAGAGAAAUACAUUGCAACAGCAAUCAAAUAGUCAAUUAAGCAUUUUUUUGCAGCGGACUUAGCUUUUGAACUCUUAGCUAACGAGACUUUCUUUGCUUCACGAGCUGCACUCGUUUUGGCGCGAAUUUGUUUCUCUUUUUGUUUUUUGUAGCUUAACGAACAGAAGUGCCUCUCCGUGCCAUAUCCCUUACAUAAAAUAUGUUGCCGUAAAAGG
Long non-coding RNA from Anopheles coustani, 1339 nucleotides. RefSeq lists it as uncharacterized. Lineage: Eukaryota; Metazoa; Arthropoda; Insecta; Diptera; Culicidae. The record is from RefSeq and is a predicted model, not a curated record. The transcript has 4 exons.